GAAAUCAACUAUAGGAAGAAAAUCAGAAAAGCCACAAAUACGGCCGGCCCUGUGGCUUGGUGGUUAAGUGCGCGCGCUGCGAUGCUGGUGGCCCGGGUUCAGAUCCCGGGUGCGCAUCGAGGCACCACUUCUCCGUUCAUCCUGAGGCCGAGUCCCACAUACAGCAACUAGAAGGAUGUGCAGCUACGACAUACAACUAUCCACUGGGGCUUUGGGGGGAAAAAUAAAAUAAAUAAAAA
Molecule: long non-coding RNA, 239 nt
Organism: Diceros bicornis minor
Lineage: Eukaryota; Metazoa; Chordata; Mammalia; Perissodactyla; Rhinocerotidae
Exons: 2
Source: RefSeq, a predicted model, not a curated record